GCAGGGGGACCCUGGAUGCAGCAACGCCGCGGGGAGGAUGACACAUUUCGGUGCGUAAACUCCUUUUAUAUAAGAAGAUAAUGACGGUAUUAUAUGAAUAAGCACCGGCUAACUCCGUGCCAGCAGCCGCGGUAAUACGACGUGCCAGCAGCCGCGGUAAUACGA
RNAcentral lists this ribosomal RNA (165 nucleotides) under uncultured bacterium. Its description in RNAcentral is "partial 16S ribosomal RNA". It matches the Rfam family "Bacterial small subunit ribosomal RNA", at positions 371 to 539 of the family's 1533-position model. The record is from RNAcentral.